This 306-nucleotide ribosomal RNA is filed under the name Triticum aestivum (bread wheat). RNAcentral's name for it is "partial small subunit ribosomal RNA". Lineage: Eukaryota; Viridiplantae; Streptophyta; Magnoliopsida; Poales; Poaceae. The record is from RNAcentral.
AUGCAGUUCUUCUGUAUAGUAUCAUUACUGUUGACUCAUUUGCUGAAUCUCUGUUUACAGGCUAAUAUGGAUUCAGAGCCCUCAUCGCAGAACCCAACAGACAUGACGGCAUUUGUGCAAAACCUCCUCGGUCAGAUGCAAACAAGGUUUGAGUCUAUGUCCCAGAACAUCGUGUCAAAGAUAGAUGAAAUGGGAACCAAGAUCGAUGAGCUGGAGCAGAGCGUCAACGAUCUCAAAGCUGAGAUGGGCACCACCGACGUACCUGUCAAGAAGCCCGACGAGGCAAAGCCUGCCGACUCCGCAUAA